AGUGUGUCAACAAACAUUCGAAUGACAGUCAUCAAACUCAAAUCUGGAGGAUUAUGGGUCCAUGCACCUAUUGCUCCAACCAACGAGUGUAUUCAGCUUGUGAAGGAGUUGGAGGCUCCAGUAGAAUACAUUGUCCUGCCUACAUUUGCUUAUGAGCAUAAAAUUUUUGUUGGCCCAUUUUCAAGAAAAUUUCCACGGGCCCAAAUAUGGGUGGCACCAAGGCAAUGGAGUUGGCCAUUGAAUUUGCCACUUGAAUUUUUUGGGAUUUUUCGUGCCAAAACCUUAACAGAUGAAGAUUUGUCUACCCCAUGGGCUGAUGAGAUCGAACAAAAAGUUUUAAGCUCACCAGAAGUUGGAAUUGGAC
This 364-nucleotide unclassified non-coding RNA is filed under the name Hevea brasiliensis (rubber tree). Lineage: Eukaryota; Viridiplantae; Streptophyta; Magnoliopsida; Malpighiales; Euphorbiaceae. The record is from RNAcentral.